AGCAGCCGCGGUAAUUCCAGCUCCAAUAGCGUAUAUUAAAGUUGUUGCAGUUAAAAAGCUCGUAGUUGAAUUUCGGGAUCAAUACGUCGGUCGUGCCUCUGGUAUGAACUGGUGUUAUUGAUUCCUCCUUUCUGAUAAACCAUGAUGUCAUUAAUUUGGUGUUGUGGGGAGUCAGGACUGUUACUUUGAAAAAAUUGAGUGUUUAAAGCAGGCCUACGCUUGAAUACAUUAGCAUGG
This 237-nucleotide ribosomal RNA is filed under the name uncultured Glomus. Its description in RNAcentral is "partial 18S ribosomal RNA". It matches the Rfam family "Eukaryotic small subunit ribosomal RNA", at positions 569 to 812 of the family's 1831-position model. Lineage: Eukaryota; Fungi; Glomeromycota; Glomeromycetes; Glomerales; Glomeraceae. The record is from RNAcentral.